This 207-nucleotide ribosomal RNA is filed under the name uncultured bacterium. Its description in RNAcentral is "partial 16S ribosomal RNA". It matches the Rfam family "Bacterial small subunit ribosomal RNA", at positions 568 to 774 of the family's 1533-position model. The record is from RNAcentral.
AACGUAGGCGGCUUUUUAAGUCAGGGGUGAAAUCCCGGGGCUCAACCCCGGAACUGCCCUUGAAACUGAAAAGCUAGAAUCCUGGAGAGGCGAGCGGAAUUCCGAGUGUAGAGGUGAAAUUCGUAGAUAUUCGGAAGAACACCAGUGGCGAAGGCGACUCGCUGGACAGGUAUUGACGCUGAGGUUCGAAAGCGUGGGGAGCAAACA